CCUGGUGAUUUUAGCGAAGGGGUCCCACCCGUUCCCAUCCCGAACACGGCAGUUAAGCCCUUCAGCGCAGAUGGUACUUGGCCUUAAGGCCCGGGAGAGCAUGUCAUCGCCAGGA
This 115-nucleotide ribosomal RNA is filed under the name Peptococcaceae bacterium. The record is from RNAcentral. Lineage: Bacteria; Bacillati; Bacillota; Clostridia; Eubacteriales; Peptococcaceae.